RNAcentral lists this ribosomal RNA (495 nucleotides) under uncultured bacterium. RNAcentral's name for it is "partial 16S ribosomal RNA". It matches the Rfam family "Bacterial small subunit ribosomal RNA", at positions 28 to 507 of the family's 1533-position model. The record is from RNAcentral.
GACGAACGCUGGCGGCGUGCCUAAUACAUGCCAGUAGAACGCUGAAGGAGGAGCUUGCUUCUCUGGAUGAGUUGCGAACGGGUGAGUAACGCGUAGGUAACCUGCCUGGUAGCGGGGGAUAACUAUUGGAAACGAUAGCUAAUACCGCAUAAUAGUAGAUGUUGCAUGACAUUUGCUUAAAAGGUGCAAUUGCAUCACUACCAGAUGGACCUGCGUUGUAUUAGCUAGUUGGUGGGGUAACGGCUCACCAAGGCGACGAUACAUAGCCGACCUGAGGGGGGGAUCGGCCACACUGGGACUGAGACACGGCCCAGACUCCUACGGGAGGCAGCAGUAGGGAAUCUUCGGCAAUGGACGGAAGUCUGACCGAGCAACGCCGCGUGAGUGAAGAAGGUUUUCGGAUCGUAAAGCUCUGUUGUAAGAGAAGAACGAGUGUGAGAGUGGAAAGUUCACACUGUGACGGUAUCUUACCAGAAAGGGACGGCUAACUACGUG